RNAcentral lists this transfer RNA (73 nucleotides) under Urocitellus parryii (Arctic ground squirrel). RNAcentral describes it as "Spermophilus parryii (Arctic ground squirrel) tRNA". It matches the Rfam family "tRNA". From Rfam's summary of the family: Transfer RNA (tRNA) molecules are approximately 80 nucleotides in length. Their secondary structure includes four short double-helical elements and three loops (D, anti-codon, and T loops). Further hydrogen bonds mediate the characteristic L-shaped molecular structure. tRNAs have two regions of fundamental functional importance: the anti-codon, which is responsible for specific mRNA codon recognition, and the 3' end, to which the tRNAs corresponding amino acid is attached (by aminoacyl-tRNA synthetases). tRNAs cope with the degeneracy of the genetic code in two manners: having more than one tRNA (with a specific anti-codon) for a particular amino acid; and 'wobble' base-pairing, i.e. permitting non-standard base-pairing at the 3rd anti-codon position. RNAcentral also lists the same sequence under 1 other name. Lineage: Eukaryota; Metazoa; Chordata; Mammalia; Rodentia; Sciuridae. The record is from Rfam by way of RNAcentral.
UGGGAUAUAGCUCAGUUGGUAGAGUGCUUGCUUAGCAUGCACAAGGCUCUGGGUUUAAUUCCCAGUACCACAA